Molecule: ribosomal RNA, 448 nt
Filed under: uncultured bacterium
Lineage: Bacteria
Description: bacterial SSU rRNA
Rfam family: Bacterial small subunit ribosomal RNA
Source: RNAcentral
CAGGCCUAACACAUGCAAGUCGAGCGCGCCCUUUCGGGGGUGAGCGGCGGACGGGUGAGUAACGCGUGGGAACGUGCCCUUUGGUACGGAAUAGUCUCGGGAAACUGGGGGUAAUACCGUAUACGCUCUUCGGAGGAAAGAUUUAUCGCCAAAGGAUCGGCCCGCGUUGGAUUAGGUAGUUGGUGGGGUAACGGCCUACCAAGCCGACGAUCCAUAGCUGGUUUGAGAGGAUGAUCAGCCACACUGGGACUGAGACACGGCCCAUACUCCUACGGGAGGCAGCAGUGGGGAAUCUUAGACAAUGGGGGCAACCCUGAUCUAGCCAUGCCGCGUGAGUGAUGAAGGCCUUACGGUUGUAAAGCUCUUUCAGUGGGGAAGAUAAUGACGGUACCCACAUAAGAAGCCCCGGCUAACUCCCUGCCAGCAGCCGCGGCUAAUACAGAGGGGG